GGGAUUGAAAAGACAGAAGAGAAAGUGAAAGAGGAAGACGGUGACGAGGACCACCAGAACUACUCUCUCUCUCUCUCUCUUUUAAACUUUUAAUUUCUGAAAAGAAAUUACUCAUGUAGUGUUUACUGGAUCGAAAAUUGGUGGAUGGACUGAGGUUAAGAUGGAAAGAAAUGGUGGACUUGUGGUGGUGGAGUGAAGGCAGAGGUGUCUUUCUUGAGAGAAGUAGUAAGGUAAAAAAGAUUAUUAAAAAAUAAGAAAAAGGAAGAAAGGAAUGAUUUGAAAAGAAAAAAGAAUAAAGUUGUUAUAACACUGGUUUCACGCACUCAACAACAAGUGAAUUUCACAGGUUUUGCCAAGUCUGCAUGACGUGUUUAAUAGGUACAUAUUUUUUAAGAUGGAGUAUCUAAUAAGUAUCAAGGUUAGGUUGAGGCUCUGAGUGAAUUCUGUGGACAAUUUUAAGGGGCCAUCUAUGACUUGAGUCCAUUUUUUACUUUAGAUUUCUUUGAAAUAUAUAUCCUAGUCUUGAACUAUUAAGCCAACUCAAGUAUCGGGCAAUCAUGAUUGUGAAUAAGAAAAUAGUUUAGAAAGCUAAAAGGGGUGUACUCUGAAUAUUUUC
RNAcentral lists this unclassified non-coding RNA (616 nucleotides) under Hevea brasiliensis (rubber tree). The record is from RNAcentral. Lineage: Eukaryota; Viridiplantae; Streptophyta; Magnoliopsida; Malpighiales; Euphorbiaceae.